This 405-nucleotide ribosomal RNA is filed under the name uncultured bacterium. Its description in RNAcentral is "partial 16S ribosomal RNA". It matches the Rfam family "Bacterial small subunit ribosomal RNA", at positions 28 to 526 of the family's 1533-position model. The record is from RNAcentral.
GAUGAACGCUGGCGGCGUGCCUAAUACAUGCAAGUCGAGCGAAGCGGGGAGGGGUGAGUAAAACGUGGAGAAACUCCUAGAAGACUGGGAUAACUUCGGGAAACCGGAGCUAAACCGGAUACUUAGAGCAGGAUCUGGGAUGCAUUAGCUAGUAGGUAAGGUAACGGCUUACAAAGGCAACGAUGCAUAGCCGACCUGAGAGGGUGAUCAGCCACACUGGAACUGAGACACGGUCCAGACUCCUACGGGAGGCAGCAGUGGGGAAUCUUCCGCAAUGGGCGAAAGCCUGACGGAGCCACGCCGCGUGUGUGAAGAAGGUCUUCGGAUCGUAAAACUCUGUUAUUAGGGAAGCGGUACCUGAUCAGGAAGCCCCGGCUAACUACGUGCCAGCAGCCGCGGUAAUUC